UACGUAGGGUGCGAGCGUUAAUCGGAAUUACUGGGCGUAAAGCGUGCGCAGGCGGUUUUGUAAGCCAGAUGUGAAAUCCCCGGGCUUAACCUGGGAAUGGCAUUUGGGACUGCAAGGCUGGAGUGCGGCAGAGGAGACUGGAAUUCCUGGUGUAGCAGUGAAAUGCGUAGAUAUCAGGAGGAACACCGAUGGCGAAGGCAGGUCUCUGGGCAUUAACUGACGCUGAGGAGCGAAAGCAUGGGGAGCGAACAGG
Molecule: ribosomal RNA, 253 nt
Filed under: uncultured bacterium
Lineage: Bacteria
Description: partial 16S ribosomal RNA
Rfam family: Bacterial small subunit ribosomal RNA
Source: RNAcentral